GAAAUGCGAUAAGUAGUGUGAAUUGCAGAAUUCAGUGAAUCAUCGAAUCUUUGAACGCACAUUGCGCCCUUUGGUAUUCCAAAGGGCAUGCCUGUUCGAGCGUCAUUUGUACCCUCAAGCUUUGCUUGGUGUUGGGCGUCUUGUCUCCAGUUCGCUGGAGACUCGCCUUAAAGUAAUUGGCAACCGGCCUACUGGUUUCGGAGCGCAGCACAAGUCGCGCUCUCUUCCAGCCAAGGUCAGCAUCCACAAAGCCUUUUUUCAACUUUUGACCUCGGAUCAGGUAGGGAUACCCGCUGAACGUAAGC
This 305-nucleotide unclassified non-coding RNA is filed under the name plant metagenome. Its description in RNAcentral is "partial contains 5.8S ribosomal RNA, internal transcribed spacer 2, and large subunit ribosomal RNA". The stretch from base 1 to 105 matches the Rfam family "5.8S ribosomal RNA", at positions 50 to 154 of the family's 154-position model. The record is from RNAcentral.